ACUCAUAUCAACAAUUUGGUGAAUUUGAUUGAUAUGGCACUGUAACGGUGAUAUCAGCCCAAAACAAAACCAAACCAACCCUCAUUUUUACUGUAGCGGUGAUAUCACGUACACAAGGUCGCAUAUCAGAUUUUAGGGCAUUUUUCAGCGUCGUUUCUCUCUCUUCGCGCAACUCCUUGGAGGCGAUUUCAGUGGCGAUCCAAUUGUCUUUCGACUCCAUACACAUCCUCUUCCACCACCGAUCUGGAAGAGCUCCUCCACCAGCUACCUCCUUCCAUUUUUGCUUCUCAUUUAUCUGUCUUCUCACAGGUCGGUUGAGGCGAUUUCAUUUGCGCCUCUCAUCUCUUUUUAUUCUCGCAGAUCGGGGUUGGUAGACCACAGAUCAAACGUUUUUGUCUACAAAUCUUUCAAAAAGAAAGACCAAUUUCAUUUCGGGCUCGGCUUUCCUAUCAUUUCUCUCUAUUCUCUGAAACCCUAGCUCGGUGGACAGCAUUCGAAGGUGUUCAUCAGUUCCAGGGUUAAAGCUUGGACGAGCAGAGCAGAUAUAGACUUUCACUCUACCGAUAACGUAGGAUUUCCUUCCAGAUGUUCGAUUUGGAUUUUAUCUUCAGUUUUUACUUUCAUUUCAAUUUGGAGUUUCAGUAGGGGUCCACUAGAGAUGGAUUCCCGAGUUGUAUGGAUUGGAGGAGUUUGAAUAAGUUGGUUUUUAAUUAGUUUAAGUUGAGGUUUUCUUUUUAAUUUAGUAUUCUUUCAGUUUUUAACUUUUAUAUCUUAUUCACUUUGUAUUCCGUGUUCGAUUUAAAAUACUUUAAUUGUUUGAUAUACCUCGAGUUUGGGCUCGGACCUUAUCAACCCGCGUCUCGGAUUCGACGGGUAUCACACACAUGCUACUGGUCAGCAUGUUCAUUUUCUACAAAAGCACCUAAACCUCACCAAGUGUUAACAAUAUCUCAAGUGGCAACACAUGAAGCUGCAAUUCAUAACAUUGUGGGCAAUGCAGACAUGAUUGAUGUAGAACGACCUAAUGUAGAAGGACUUAUUGACCUCAAUCCUACUCCCAAACCUGUAGCUAAGAAACCUAAGAAAGAAAGUUUUUCCUUCACAAUGUCUCAAGUGAUGGCAUGUUUGACUGAUAUUGGGAACGCGAAAGCUGAUAAAAUUGCCAAAGCCAUAACAGGAUCAUCUUCUAGUUGUUAACUAUCUCGUGUUAAAGAAAUGCCUAAAGUGACAUCUCCCAGUAAAAAAGAAAAAGAAAAAUAAAUGGAUCCCAGCAUGAGGAGUGCCUUAGGAUUGUCAACACAUUAGUGGGGAUUAAUGAUACCCAUUAUGCUAAGAUCAUAAGGAUGUUUGGUGAGAACAAGGUGUGGGGGGACAUAUUUCUUCGCAUUCCUGAUGAGAAGAAUGUUGGGUGGGUGAUGAAUCAGCCUCUGUGAUAUGUUCGCUAUCUUACUUUUAUGUGUUUUUGGAUGACUGUUUUAUAACUCUUUUUACAUUACUGUUGGAAGAGUGUAUUUAAAUCCUCUAUGUACUGCUUUUAAAUUAAUGUUAGAUGACUAUUUAUGUUCUAUAUCUAUUGCUUUUAUAUUAUUGCUGGAUAAUUAUAUGAUUUGGUAUGUCUUUUAUCAUUUUUGUAUUGUUGAUGAAUAACUGUAUUAUUUGUUAUAUAUUUUUCCAUUUUCCUUAUAUUAUGAAGUUGUUUAAUUUUUAUUACAAUAAUUGCUUCUGUUUAUUCUUAAAUAGGAUAGUAGAUAUGGAUAUAAGGACAAUAUAAACUAUGUAUGAUGAUGAUGAUGAGGAGGAAAUUUUUGUAUUGAUCGCAGCCGUAUAUGAGUACUAGCAUAAACAUUUUGAUAAGCAACGUUGUAGGAAUUCCAUGUUACAAAAGGAAGAUUACGUAUUCGAGAUUUUAAAUGGACAUGAAGGUAGGUGUUAUGAAAAUUUUCGGAUGUACCCCAAUACCUUUAGGGCUUUGUGUCGUGAAUUGAAAUUGUUAUGAUUGAAAGAUCCAACAUUUGUAACAGUAGAAGAACAAGUUGCAAUUUUCCUACUUACCGUGUCUCACAAUGAAAGGAAUCGUGUCGUUGUUGAAAGAUUCCAACACUCUACAUCCACAAUUUCAUAUCACUUUCAUGUUGUCUUAAAGUUAAUUUGUAAGUUAGGGACUAAGAUUAUUGUUUCCUUGGAUUUGAAUGAAAUUCUUAAACAGAUAAAGAACAAUCCAAAGUUUUACCCAUACUUUAAGAAUUGUGUAGGAGCCAUAGAUGGUACUCAUAUCCAUGUCAGUGCCAGUUGGAUAACAAAUUCCCUUUCUUGGUAAAAAGGGUGAUACGACCCAAAAUGUCAUGGCCAUGUGUUCUUUUGAUAUGAAAUUCACAUACAUUCUAGCAGGGUGGGAAUGGUUUGCUAAUGAUUCGAAGAUUUUAAAUGAGUGCAUUCAGAAUGAGAAUUUAAAUUUUACACCACCACCCGAAGGUAAGAAAAUUACCUUUCCAUAUUUAUGCAUUUAACAUUAAAAAUACGUUAAUUUUAAUACUUAACAUGACAGGUAAGUUUUAUUUAGUGCACUCUGGGUACGCCAAUUAACCGGGGUUUUUGGCCCAUUUUCGGGGUCAACGUUAGCACAUGCAGGAAUAUCGUGGACAUACUAGAAUUGAUCGGUUGGUCAAUUAACAUCAACCUUCACAAUAGCACGAAUCAUUGUAAAAUAGGGCUAUUGGUCGGGUAAGUCGAACCACUGGGACUGCGCUAAUCUAUGGCAACCUAAGUGUCUAGAGUCAUUUUAGAGUGAUAAGGUGUAAUAAAGAGUUGUUGAUUGGUUUGUCACUAAGCUAGAAAUGUAAAGAUGCAUAAAAUAAUAAAUGGAAGGAGAUUAAAAGGAGUGAAACUUAGGUGGAGAGGACUAGGGAAAUGAAUCCACCACACACCUCAUAAACAUGCUAGCUUGCAAUUAACUUGGGGAGCUACUUAUGUAAAUGACCAUGAUAUGUAGAGAUGCAUGAUAACUACACUAUCUUCAAGAAGUUCAUACAAUCAAGAGCUAAGUAUAAACCAUCUAAGUAUAAUCCCUAGGAAUGGCCUAUCAAAGCCCUUACUUUGUAUGGUAAAUGCACAUGUAAUCAAAGACUAAGUAUAAUCAAUCCACGGUUGGUAUGAACCAUCUACUUAAUUACAUUAAACUAGGGGUGUAGUAUGAUUCAUCGUUCCUAGGAAUGGACUAUCAAAACCUUCACAAGACAUGCCAAGAAAAUCAUUUCACAAUCUCAUCUCCAUUCCCACUAUGAAGAUGCAAGCUAUAAAAUCAUGAGAGAAUAUAACCUAAAACAAGAUGAUAAAACUCAACAUAAUCAUUAAUAGAAAUUAAGAUCCAUUACAACAUGUGUAGAGCUCUAGAUUAUGAAAAAUACCACAUACAUACUUCAUUCCCCAAAUUAAGAACAAAACUAGAGUAUGCUUACAAGGGAGGCUUCAUCACCUCCCUAGAAGAAGAGUUAGUUACCCAUUGGAACCUUAGAAUGAAGAAGAAGCUUGAACUCCAUCUCCAAUUUUUGAGCUCCCCUUUGUUAGCUUGAAGAACUCCUUUCUUUUCUCCCCUCUCUCUCCUUUUAUCUUGUAAAAAUGAAGGAUAGCAUGCAUGUGGCCCUUAGUUGCCUUAUAUCUUUCAACCAAGCUCUCUCUCUCUUCCAAAGACAUUCCCAACCACUCCAUAAAGAAGGAGGAUGGAAAUGUGAAAACCAAUGCACAAGUGGGCUGAAGAGGGGUUCAUUUCCGAGCUGCAAUCUGGCUAAUUUUCGAGCACUCAAAGAGUGGUCUCGAGCACUCUAAAUUAGUGUAAUGUGCAACAUGCUCUUCUUGCUUAGCACUGACCUACUUUGGUAAAACUGCUAUAACUUUGCGCCCCGAACUCCGAAUGAUAAUCUGUUUAAAGAUUUGGAGAGCUGCUUCAGUGCUUUAAAAAUUUCAUGUUUUGAUGAAGACCCAAUUCUCAAGUCUGGUUGGUCAAAAAUGGGGAGAAAGGCAGUACUUUAGUGCUGCUAGGCAGUUCUACGCACCUCUGUUAAGAAGAUCAUAACUCUCUGUUCCAAACUCCGAAUGACGAACCGCUUGAAGAUUUGGAAAGCUGAUUCAUAGCUCUAAAUCUUUCAUGUUAUGAUGGAAGUCCAGUUCUUGAGUUUGCUAGGUCAAAAAUGGCGACAAAAGUCAGGUUCUACCGCUGCAAGAAAUUCAGAAUUGGCACCCUUUUUGUUCAUAAUUCUACAAGGCAUCAUUUUUGCUUCCUUUUUGCACUUUAACCUGAAAAUGCACAAAAACAUGCAAAUGGAGUUAAUCUACAUGAAAUAAUCAAUUAAUGGACUUUGUUAAUGUAAUUUAGGGCGCCUGAAUAUACAGUAUUCAGCGCUUAUCACUAGAGGACCAUGUGAUAGAGAAGAGGUGUACAAUUUUAGGCACUCGUCAUUGAGGAAUAUCAUAGAGCGAUGUUUUGAGUUGGUAAAGAUGAGAUUCGCUAUAUUGAAGCAAAUGCCCCUUUAUCACUUUGACACUCAAGUUCUUAUUGUCAUUGCUUGCUGUACAUUGCAUAAUUUCAUAAGAUCCCAAGGUGAAUCUGAUGAAAUUUUUGAUUGUGAAACCCCUGAAUCUUUUACUUCACAAAAUGAACCUGAUGUGGAUGACAUUGUUGAGGUCGUCAGUGCUAUUAAUACACAGAUGCGACAGAUGGAUAUUUAUCGUGAUAGUAUUGCUAACCUAAUUUGGGAGCACUGUAAUCACUAAUUAUAAUAGUGUGUAAUAGUGUGUAGGAUUUUAAUAUAUAUGGAUAACUGUAAUAACUAAUUAUAUUACGUAAAUUAAACUCACAUGCAUACAAUAUGGAUAACUGUAGUAACUAAUUAUAUUAAGACAUCAAAUAUUAAAUACUUUAGUACUUAUAGGCGGACUUAUGUAUAGGCUUGAAAGUGAGCGACCACAAUGUGCAUGUGGUAGAGGUCCUAUGCAUCUGUAUAGGGCUCGAACUCCAAAAAAUGAUGGUCGACAAUUCUAUAGGUGUCCAGCUCAGUAGUCAUAUAUGAAUGCAUUUAUGUGGGUGGAAGAGUUGCACCAAGGUGCACAAGUUGAAGAACAGGUUCAAUCUGACUUGGACAGAGUCAUUGCAAUAAUUCAAAAUUUACAAUGUAAACAGAAGUACAUGCUCUUCCUAGGUUGUGGAUGUCUUACUAUCACAAUCAUGUUUAUUGUGAUUGUCUUCUUCUUACUCAUUAUCGUUGUUAUUGAAAGAUGAAGUUAGAUAAACUUCCAUCUUUUGUAAUAUAUGACAUGUAAUAGGUAUUUAGUUAAUUUCCUGUGUUUCAUUUGGUAUGUAAUAUAUACUUAAUUUUUUGUAUUUGGAUGACCUUGCUGGUGAGAACUAUAAAUGCUAUAUUUUCAACUGCGUAUUAAAUGGUAUAAAUGUGUUUGGUUU
This is a long non-coding RNA of Cornus florida, 5452 nucleotides long. RefSeq lists it as uncharacterized. Lineage: Eukaryota; Viridiplantae; Streptophyta; Magnoliopsida; Cornales; Cornaceae. The transcript is spliced from 3 exons. The record is from RefSeq and is a predicted model, not a curated record.